UUCUUCGUUUGCUAUUAACCACCACUUUUCUUCACUUGAACUCCCCUAGCCUUGAGCUAGUGGUCACGACGCUAAAUAAGCAAAUCCGGUGAAGUUUACGACGCAAGGAACGCAAAGUUGUAACUAGAAGUGGAUGUGCGCGCGGCCUUACUCAUGCUUGUGGAUGUCGCUUAUGUUUAUCUUUAAAUAAAGUUGUAAACUUUUUAAGACAAUGUUUUAUGCCAUCUCGCGAUGUAAACGCUAACUUAUGUUUUCAAAUUAUGAAAUGUUUGAACCUUUCAUGA
RNAcentral lists this long non-coding RNA (284 nucleotides) under Helianthus annuus (common sunflower). Its description in RNAcentral is "hypothetical non coding rna". Lineage: Eukaryota; Viridiplantae; Streptophyta; Magnoliopsida; Asterales; Asteraceae. The record is from RNAcentral.